This 301-nucleotide ribosomal RNA is filed under the name uncultured bacterium. RNAcentral describes it as "partial 16S ribosomal RNA". It matches the Rfam family "Bacterial small subunit ribosomal RNA", at positions 509 to 807 of the family's 1533-position model. The record is from RNAcentral.
CAGUCGCCGCGGUAAUACGUAGGGUGCAAGCGUUAAUCGGAAUUACUGGGCGUAAAGCGUGCGCAGGCGGUGAUGUAAGACAGUUGUGAAAUCCCCGGGCUCAACCUGGGAACUGCAUCUGUGACUGCAUUGCUGGAGUGCGGCAGAGGGGGAUGGAAUUCCGCGUGUAGCAGUGAAAUGCGUAGAUAUGCGGAGGAACACCGAUGGCGAAGGCAAUCCCCUGGGCCUGCACUGACGCUCAUGCACGAAAGCGUGGGGAGCAAACAGGAUUAGAUACCCCUGUAGUCCCUGUCUCUUAUAC